RNAcentral lists this ribosomal RNA (253 nucleotides) under uncultured bacterium. Its description in RNAcentral is "partial 16S ribosomal RNA". It matches the Rfam family "Bacterial small subunit ribosomal RNA", at positions 524 to 776 of the family's 1533-position model. The record is from RNAcentral.
GACAGAGGGUGCAAACGUUGCUCGGAAUUACUGGGCGUAAAGCGCGUGUAGGCGGACCACCAAGUCGGGCGUGAAAGCCCUGAGCUCAACUCAGGAACUGCAUCCGAAACUGGCGGUCUGGAGUAGUGGAGAGGAAAGCAGAAUUCCUGGUGUAGAGGUGAAAUUCGUAGAUAUCAGGAGGAACACCGGUGGCGAAGGCGGCAUCCUGGACCGGCAUUGACGCUGAGGCGCGAAAGCCAGGGGAGCAAACGGG